RNAcentral lists this ribosomal RNA (399 nucleotides) under uncultured bacterium. RNAcentral's name for it is "bacterial SSU rRNA". It matches the Rfam family "Bacterial small subunit ribosomal RNA", at positions 30 to 431 of the family's 1533-position model. The record is from RNAcentral.
AUUGAACGCUGGCGGCAUGCCUUACACAUGCAAGUCGAACGGCAGCACGGGAGCAAUCCUGGUGGCGAGUGGCGAACGGGUGAGUAAUGUAUCGGAACGUACCUUUCAGUGGGGGAUAACGUAGCGAAAGUUACGCUAAUACCGCAUAUUCUGUGAGCAGGAAAGCAGGGGAUCGCAAGACCUUGCGCUGAUUGAGCGGCCGAUAUCAGAUUAGCUAGUUGGUGAGGUAAAGGCUCACCAAGGCGACGAUCUGUAGCGGGUCUGAGAGGAUGAUCCGCCACACUGGAACUGAGACACGGUCCAGACUCCUACGGGAGGCAGCAGUGGGGAAUUUUGGACAAUGGGCGCAAGCCUGAUCCAGCCAUGCCGCGUGAGUGAAGAAGGCCUCGGUUGUAAGAC